RNAcentral lists this long non-coding RNA (342 nucleotides) under Rattus norvegicus (Norway rat). RNAcentral describes it as "long non-coding RNA NONRATT020726". Lineage: Eukaryota; Metazoa; Chordata; Mammalia; Rodentia; Muridae. The record is from RNAcentral.
AGUGACUCAUGGCACCUUAUCACUGAGACCUUUGGAAACUUUUGGAGAAUUAAACCUCUCACAAGUCAAGGUGAAGAGACUGAGGACAAGAAACAUUGCCCAAGGUUAGCUGGGUGGCUGAACCAAGAUCUAAGGCAACCUCCAACCAUCUGCCAAUACCAUCCUGUUAUGGGUUCUCAGCUGGUGCCUAGGUUCCCCCUCUAGCCACCCACCAUCAUCUUGCUAAAACACCUCCCUUUCACCCCCCACUCCCCGAUGACUCCCUGGUAAAGAGGGAGGCAGGCAGGCCGUUGCUAAGCACUCACCAGCUCUCUCAUAAAAAUAAACUCCUUCUGGCUUAGA